CCUACGGGGUGCAGCAGUGAGGAAUAUUGGUCAAUGGACGAGAGUCUGAACCAGCCAAGCAGCGUGAAGGAUGACUGACCUAUGGGUUGUAAACUUCUUUUAUAAAGGAAUAAAACGAGGCACGUGUGCCUUUGAGCAGGUACUUUAUGAAUAAGGAUCGGCUAACUCCGUGCCAGCAGCGGCGGUAAUACGGAGGAUCCGAGCGUUAUACGGAUUUAUUGGGUUUAAAGGGAGCGUAGAUGGGUGGUUUAGUCAGUUGUGAAAGUUUGCGGCUCAACCGUAAAAUUGCUAUUGAUACUGGCAGUCUUGAGUACAGUUGAGGUAGGCGGAAUUCGUGGUGUAGCGGUGAAAUGCUUAGAUAUCACGAAGAACCCCGAUUGCGAAGGCAGCUUACUAAACUGUGACUGACAUUGAUGCUCGAAAGUGUGGGUAUCAAACAGGAUUAGAUACCCCAGUAGUC
RNAcentral lists this ribosomal RNA (460 nucleotides) under uncultured bacterium. RNAcentral's name for it is "partial 16S ribosomal RNA". It matches the Rfam family "Bacterial small subunit ribosomal RNA", at positions 338 to 795 of the family's 1533-position model. The record is from RNAcentral.